UACAGAGGAGCCAAGCGUUGUCCGGAUUGACUGGGCGUAAAGCGCACGCAGGCGGCUGCGCAAGUCGGGUGUGAAAUUCCGGGGCUCAACCCCGGAACUGCGUCCGAUACUGCGUGGCUAGAGGUAGGUAGGGGAGAUCGGAAUUCCUGGUGUAGCGGUGAAAUGCGCAGAUAUCAGGAGGAACACCGGUGGCGAAGGCGGAUCUCUGGGCCUUACCUGACGCUCAGGCGCGAAAGCUAGGGGAGCGAACAGG
RNAcentral lists this ribosomal RNA (253 nucleotides) under uncultured bacterium. RNAcentral's name for it is "partial 16S ribosomal RNA". It matches the Rfam family "Bacterial small subunit ribosomal RNA", at positions 524 to 776 of the family's 1533-position model. The record is from RNAcentral.